RNAcentral lists this ribosomal RNA (497 nucleotides) under uncultured bacterium. Its description in RNAcentral is "partial 16S ribosomal RNA". It matches the Rfam family "Bacterial small subunit ribosomal RNA", at positions 28 to 507 of the family's 1533-position model. The record is from RNAcentral.
GAUGAACGCUGGCGGCGUGCCUAAUACAUGCAAGUCGAGCGAACAGAUAAGGGGCUUGCUCCUUUGACGUUAGCGGCGGACGGGUGAGUAACACGUGGGUAACCUACCUAUAAGACUGGAAUAACUCCGGGAAACCGGGGCUAAUGCCGGAUAACAUUUAGAACCGCAUGGUUCUAAAGUGAAAGAUGGUUUUGCUAUCACUUAUAGAUGGACCCGCGCCGUAUUAGCUAGUUGGUAAGGUAACGGCUUACCAAGGCAACGAUACGUAGCCGACCUGAGAGGGUGAUCGGCCACACUGGAACUGAGACACGGUCCAGACUCCUACGGGAGGCAGCAGUGGGGAAUCUUCCGCAAUGGGCGAAAGCCUGACGGAGCAACGCCGCGUGAGUGAUGAAGGUCUUCGGAUCGUAAAACUCUGUUAUUAGGGAAGAACAGAUGUGUAAGUAACUGUGCACGUCUUGACGGUACCUAAUCAGAAAGCCACGGCUAACUACGUG